This 21-nucleotide microRNA is filed under the name Tribolium castaneum (red flour beetle). Its description in RNAcentral is "tca-miR-252b-5p". Its record names the gene tca-miR-252b-5p. The record is from miRBase by way of RNAcentral. Lineage: Eukaryota; Metazoa; Arthropoda; Insecta; Coleoptera; Tenebrionidae.
UUAAGUAGUUGCGCCGAAGGU